Unclassified non-coding RNA from Pongo abelii (Sumatran orangutan), 148 nucleotides. It matches the Rfam family "Metazoan signal recognition particle RNA". Rfam says of the family: The signal recognition particle (SRP) is a universally conserved ribonucleoprotein. It is involved in the co-translational targeting of proteins to membranes. Lineage: Eukaryota; Metazoa; Chordata; Mammalia; Primates; Hominidae. The record is from Ensembl.
GCUGGGCGUGGUGGCGCACGCCUGUAAUCCCAGAUACUUGGGAGGCUGAGGCAGGAGAAUCGCUUGAACUUGGGAGGCGGAGGUUGCAGUGAGCCGAGAUCACACCACUGCACUCCAGCCUGGGUGACAGAGUGAGACUCGGUCUCAA